Molecule: ribosomal RNA, 429 nt
Filed under: Chloroflexota bacterium
Lineage: Bacteria; Bacillati; Chloroflexota
Description: Chloroflexi bacterium partial 16S ribosomal RNA
Rfam family: Bacterial small subunit ribosomal RNA
Source: RNAcentral
UGGGGAAUAUUGCACAAUGGGCGCAAGCCUGAUGCAGCCAUGCCGCGUGUGUGAAGAAGGCCUUCGGGUUGUAAAGCACUUUCAGCGGGGAGGAAGGCGUUAAGGUUAAUAACCUUGUCGAUUGACGUUACCCGCAGAAGAAGCACCGGCUAACUCCGUGCCAGCAGCCGCGGUAAUACGGAGGGUGCAAGCGUUAAUCGGAAUUACUGGGCGUAAAGCGCACGCAGGCGGUCUGUCAAGUCGGAUGUGAAAUCCCCGGGCUCAACCUGGGAACGGCAUUCGAAACUGGCAGGCUAGAGUCGUGUAGAGGGGGGUAGAAUUCCAGGUGUAGCGGUGAAAUGCGUAGAGAUCUGGAGGAAUACCGGUGGCGAAGGCGGCCCCCUGGACAAAGACUGACGCUCAGGUGCGAAAGCGUGGGGAGCAAACAGG